Solanum tuberosum (potato) is the source of this 87-nucleotide non-coding RNA. The record is from Rfam. Lineage: Eukaryota; Viridiplantae; Streptophyta; Magnoliopsida; Solanales; Solanaceae.
GUGACAGAAGAGAGUGAGCACACAUGGUUCUUUCAUGGAUUAUUCCCCAUGUUUAAAAGCUCUGCGUGCUCACGCUCUAUCUGUCAC